AUUAAAACUAUACACCUAUGAACAAGUCAGCUAUUUAGUUAAGCUCUGUUUCAUUGGAAGUUUGCAUUGACUCCCCAGGUCUUGAAUGCUUUGGGUGCCACACUGGCUGGCCGUUAAGGGUUGUGAUGAAAAAUCCCAGGAAGCUGAAGAGUGAACAUGAUCAUAAUCUCUAAAAUGGUCUUUGAGGAAUCACCACACUGUCUUCCACCAUGGUUGAAGCUAUUUGUGAUCUGCUUGGAUUUUAAGAAAAGAGAGUAGCCAUCGAAGACAGGAAGAGACUGUGUGGACAGCAACAGCAAAGGGCUUGGAGGAGGAAGAAGAGGAGAACAACAAAUGACAGAGAAAGCAUGGAAGGAAAGAAACCCGGACACAAUCAGUCAGCCAAUCCCCUGCUACAUUACAGCCACGAACAAGGAUUGUUUGUGCUGUGGCUGGGUUGUGAGGACCUUGGCCUUGGAUGUGUGAGUAAUCCAUGCCUGACCCUGUCGAGAUGUGCAGCUGCCCAGGUGAUUCAAAUGUGCAGCUGGAGUUGGAAGCCUCUGGUCCUGGGUGCCCAUCAAGACACGAGCAACUGAUGGGCCUGGCGUGGGGCCUUACUCCACUCAGCAUCUGAUUCCUUCUCAGUUCCAUCUUCUGUUUCUCUGAUGUCU
RNAcentral lists this long non-coding RNA (650 nucleotides) under Aotus nancymaae (Ma's night monkey). RNAcentral's name for it is "lncRNA (ENSANAG00000039041.1)". The record is from RNAcentral. Lineage: Eukaryota; Metazoa; Chordata; Mammalia; Primates; Aotidae.